UACAGAGGGGGCAAGCGUUGUUCGGAAUUACUGGGCGUAAAGGGCGCGUAGGCGGCCUUCUAAGUCGAACGUGAAAUCCCCGAGCUCAACUCGGGAACUGCGUCCGAUACUGGCGGGCUUGAAUCCGGGAGAGGGAUGCGGAAUUCCAGGUGUAGCGGUGAAAUGCGUAGAUAUCUGGAGGAACACCGGUGGCGAAGGCGGCAUCCUGGACCGGCAUUGACGCUGAGGCGCGAAAGCUAGGGGAGCAAACGGG
RNAcentral lists this ribosomal RNA (253 nucleotides) under uncultured bacterium. Its description in RNAcentral is "partial 16S ribosomal RNA". It matches the Rfam family "Bacterial small subunit ribosomal RNA", at positions 524 to 776 of the family's 1533-position model. The record is from RNAcentral.